RNAcentral lists this ribosomal RNA (439 nucleotides) under uncultured bacterium. RNAcentral's name for it is "partial 16S ribosomal RNA". It matches the Rfam family "Bacterial small subunit ribosomal RNA", at positions 339 to 795 of the family's 1533-position model. The record is from RNAcentral.
CUACGGGGCGCAGCAGUGAGGAAUAUUGCACAAUGGGGGGAACCCUGAUGCAGCAACGCCGCGUGGAGGAUGACGCAUUUCGGUGUGUAAACUCCUUUUAUAUGUCAAGAAAAUGACGGUAGCAUAUGAAUAAGCACCGGCUAACUCCGUGCCAGCAGCCGCUGUAAUACGGAGGGUGCAAGCGUUACUCGGAAUCACUGGGCGUAAAGGACGCGUAGGCGGGUUGGAAAGUCAGGUGUGAAAUCCUACAGCUUAACUGUAGAACUGCACUUGAAACUUCUAAUCUAGAGUAUGGGAGGGGGAGAUGGAAUUAGUGGUGUAGGGGUAAAAUCCGUAGAUAUCACUAGGAAUACCUAAAGCGAAAGCGAUCUCCUGGAACAUUACUGACGCUAAGGCGUGAAAGCGUGGGGAGCAAACAGGAUUAGAUACCCCGGUAGUC